Molecule: ribosomal RNA, 1386 nt
Filed under: Enhydrobacter aerosaccus
Lineage: Bacteria; Pseudomonadati; Pseudomonadota; Alphaproteobacteria; Hyphomicrobiales
Also listed under: 1 other name
Description: 16S ribosomal RNA
Rfam family: Bacterial small subunit ribosomal RNA
Source: RNAcentral
AGUCGAACGAUGAUUAUCUAGCUUGCUAGAUAUGAUUAGUGGCGGACGGGUGAGUAACAUUUAGGAAUCUGCCUAGUAGUGGGGGAUAGCUCGGGGAAACUCGAAUUAAUACCGCAUACGACCUACGGGUGAAAGGGGGCGCAAGCUCUUGCUAUUAGAUGAGCCUAAAUCAGAUUAGCUAGUUGGUGGGGUAAAGGCCCACCAAGGCGACGAUCUGUAACUGGUCUGAGAGGAUGAUCAGUCACACCGGAACUGAGACACGGUCCGGACUCCUACGGGAGGCAGCAGUGGGGAAUAUUGGACAAUGGGGGCAACCCUGAUCCAGCCAUGCCGCGUGUGUGAAGAAGGCCUUUUGGUUGUAAAGCACUUUAAGCAGGGAGGAGAGGCUAAUGGUUAAUACCCAUUAGAUUAGACGUUACCUGCAGAAUAAGCACCGGCUAACUCUGUGCCAGCAGCCGCGGUAAUACAGAGGGUGCGAGCGUUAAUCGGAAUUACUGGGCGUAAAGCGAGUGUAGGUGGCUCAUUAAGUCACAUGUGAAAUCCCCGGGCUUAACCUGGGAACUGCAUGUGAUACUGGUGGUGCUAGAAUAUGUGAGAGGGAAGUAGAAUUCCAGGUGUAGCGGUGAAAUGCGUAGAGAUCUGGAGGAAUACCGAUGGCGAAGGCAGCUUCCUGGCAUAAUAUUGACACUGAGAUUCGAAAGCGUGGGUAGCAAACAGGAUUAGAUACCCUGGUAGUCCACGCCGUAAACGAUGUCUACUAGCCGUUGGGGUCCUUGAGACUUUAGUGGCGCAGUUAACGCGAUAAGUAGACCGCCUGGGGAGUACGGCCGCAAGGUUAAAACUCAAAUGAAUUGACGGGGGCCCGCACAAGCGGUGGAGCAUGUGGUUUAAUUCGAUGCAACGCGAAGAACCUUACCUGGUCUUGACAUAGUGAGAAUCCUGCAGAGAUGCGGGAGUGCCUUCGGGAAUUCACAUACAGGUGCUGCAUGGCUGUCGUCAGCUCGUGUCGUGAGAUGUUGGGUUAAGUCCCGCAACGAGCGCAACCCUUUUCCUUAUUUGCCAGCGGGUUAAGCCGGGAACUUUAAGGAUACUGCCAGUGACAAACUGGAGGAAGGCGGGGACGACGUCAAGUCAUCAUGGCCCUUACGACCAGGGCUACACACGUGCUACAAUGGUAGGUACAGAGGGUUGCUACACAGCGAUGUGAUGCUAAUCUCAAAAAGCCUAUCGUAGUCCGGAUUGGAGUCUGCAACUCGACUCCAUGAAGUCGGAAUCGCUAGUAAUCGCAGAUCAGAAUGCUGCGGUGAAUACGUUCCCGGGCCUUGUACACACCGCCCGUCACACCAUGGGAGUCUAUUGCACCAGAAGUAGGUAGCCUAACGCAAG